Molecule: long non-coding RNA, 832 nt
Organism: Perca fluviatilis (European perch)
Lineage: Eukaryota; Metazoa; Chordata; Actinopteri; Perciformes; Percidae
Exons: 4
Source: RefSeq, a predicted model, not a curated record
AAUAACGUUACCAGAGACUAUUUAGAAGGACUUUGACGUUACGCACUCCAGCAGCACAACUAGCGACCUAGCUACCACUAACCGACUCCCUGAAGAAUUUGACGACGGAUGAAUCUAGUAAUCACACGCUCAUUCCCCGCUUAAAGGUGGUGUUAGAAAAUUAGUUGUUAGUAGAAGCACGAACAGACACCUGGUAUGUUAGUAGAAGCACUAACAGACACUUCAUAUGCAAUAGUUAGUUUUUUGUUGAUGGAAACUUUCAAUAGUGCACAAAAGAGCAUAAACGCCUCAAACUGAGUUCCUACACUGCAAGUCCGCGCCCUCUGUGUAGCUUCUAGGGACGCUAGUUUUAAAUUCUGUGUGAGCAGACUGUCUGAGACACGGAGAUUGCUGUUAACAGAACGAGUCAACUGCCCGUGCCUGCCUACUUGUGUUGCCUCGGUUUUAAAACAAACGACCCUGCUGGAGGCAAGCUGCUUUUCAUGACAAAGAUGAAUAAAUUUCAGAUCAGUUUAUGCCUUUGCAUCUUGCUGUUUCAGUUUCAAGAAGUUAAGGAAGAUAACUGGAGAUGUGAUAACGAUACCAGAAGACUGAGAAGAAACUGCCCCUCAUUAGAAAGAUGAUGGAGACCACAUUUCCCCUACGCCGACAGACCAUAGUGAUGUCCUGCCCACCAGUGAACGACCUCAUGGACCUCUGGCCUGCUCUCAAAAUAGAGUCUGAGUUGUAUGCAGAGUUCCAGCGGAUUACAAAUCAGAACCUGCCCAACACGUGCUAUGCUGAGCUUGACCGCUAUCUUCCUCGACUGAUGACCUUAUUCAGACGGAAGGCA